This 279-nucleotide unclassified non-coding RNA is filed under the name Clostridioides difficile. RNAcentral's name for it is "16S-23S ribosomal RNA intergenic spacer (ISR)". Lineage: Bacteria; Bacillati; Bacillota; Clostridia; Peptostreptococcales; Peptostreptococcaceae. The record is from RNAcentral.
ACCUACUGUUUAAUUUUGAGGGUUCGUUUUUACGAAUACUCAAAAUUAGCACUUUAAGCAACAGAAUAAACUGAACGCAUGUGAAGUUUGUUUGUUGGCGCUGUGCGUUAGCACUUUAAGCAACGGGAUUUAUCCGUUGGCGCUGUGCUUUAGCACUUUGAAAACUGCAUAUAUAUAUUUAGUGAUAUGACAUCUAAUUUGUAAUAUAUAAAGCUGAUAACUUUUUAAAAUUAUCGAAGUUGAUAGCUUCUAAUCUAUCAAACCUUUUUAACUGGUCAA